This 208-nucleotide ribosomal RNA is filed under the name uncultured Acidobacteriota bacterium. RNAcentral's name for it is "uncultured Acidobacteria bacterium partial 16S ribosomal RNA". It matches the Rfam family "Bacterial small subunit ribosomal RNA", at positions 568 to 775 of the family's 1533-position model. Lineage: Bacteria; Pseudomonadati; Acidobacteriota. The record is from RNAcentral.
CGCGUAGGCGGCUUUGCAAGUCAGAUGUGAAAGCCCCGGGCUUAACUCGGGAAUUGCAUCUGAAACUGCUUAGCUUGAGUCCUGGAGGGGGUAGUGGAAUUCCCAGUGUAGCGGUGAAAUGCGUAGAUAUUGGGAGGAACACCUGCGGCGAAGGCGGCUACCUGGACAGUGACUGACGCUGAUGCGCGAAAGCUAGGGGAGCGAACGG